UGAUACUCUGGCUUCGGAUUAUCCAAAAGAAUAUGAUGGUGCUAGCCUUCAGAUGAGACUAUCGUACAGUCACUGUGCUCAUAUAUUUCUGUUUCUUGUUCAGUGGACUGACUGUCACUUUGCUGGUGCUCUAGGAUUGCUUAGGAUCCAUAUUUAUAAGGCUUAUGAGGAUGGUAACACAAGCAUGUAUAUUCAUGAGAGAAAAGCUAGUAUAAAACAGUUCUAUGGGGUGAUAUUUCCCUCUUUGUUGCAACUUCAAAG
RNAcentral lists this unclassified non-coding RNA (261 nucleotides) under Hevea brasiliensis (rubber tree). The record is from RNAcentral. Lineage: Eukaryota; Viridiplantae; Streptophyta; Magnoliopsida; Malpighiales; Euphorbiaceae.